RNAcentral lists this long non-coding RNA (3503 nucleotides) under Homo sapiens (human). RNAcentral describes it as "HSALNT0316447". The record is from RNAcentral. Lineage: Eukaryota; Metazoa; Chordata; Mammalia; Primates; Hominidae.
CACAUUAUAUGAUUUCGUUUAUAUGAAAUGUCCAGAAUAGACAAAUCUACAGUGACAAAGUAAAUUAGUGGUUGCCAAGGACUGGGGUUGGAAUGGGGAGUGACUGCUAAUGGGCAUAGAAUAUUAUUUUGGGGUGAUAAAAAUGUUCUAAACUUGAUUAUAGAAAUGAGACAGGAUAGUUCCCUUGACCCACUUCGUGGGUGGGAAUGGAAGUGGCUCAUUUCACUUAGCCUGCCACUGGCCACUCCUCAUGAGACAGAGUGUGCCAGCAAGGGAGUGUGGGAACUGGAGAGAAUGAACCCUGGACCUGGCCACUCUUCUCUGGCGGAAGCAGGUUCCGUGCGGGCCCUACAGCAGCAUCCAAGCCCCUGUCCUCUCGGCACCUGAGUUCUUGUUUGGCAUCCAGGAAGAAUUAGGUCACCCACACGGAUUGAAAGGUAGUGUAUGUAGAAGAUUUUACUGGGUAAUGGCUCUCAGCAGGAUGGGAGUUGGAAAGGGGAUGGUGCGGAAAGAAAGUGAUUUUUCCCUGAAGCCACACCAUCUGAAGUUAGCGGCGUCUAUCUGUAGUCUCUGACACUCAGUUGCUGCUUCUCUGCUUGCUGCGCAUAUACCCGGCGCUCAGCCGCUUGUGUUGCUCUGCCAGCUGAAGUCUUUUUUAUAUGGGCACAGGAUAGGAGCAUGGCAGGCCAAAAAGCAACAUUUGAGGGCAAAAAUGGGGUGAGCUGUUUUCACACAGGGCUGUGGUUCCAGGUUUAAGGGUGGGGUUUAGCCAGGAGCCAAGCCGUUCUGUAUCAUUUCCCCCCUCUGAAGAGGCACAUCUAACUGCCAUUAGGAUAUGGACAACGACCAGUCUUUCCGUUGUUUAACGAAAGCGGCAGUUGGAUUCCUCCCAGAAGUCUACCCAAGGAUCCCCAGCGAAAGGGAGCCAUAGUCCGAGGCUCUGGCUGCCUGCCUGUUUGGAGCUUUGAUGGCCUCGAGGUGAGAGAAAAAACAAGCUUUACAUGGCCAAAUAUGCAUGGAUCAAACAUGUAUUAUACAAGGAAAGAAUCUAGUGUGAAAUAUUACAGAAAUAAAAAGUGAAAUAUACUAGUAACAUUGUACCCCAAGCUGUCUCACGCUGGUGAAAGAAAUUAAACCUUGUAUGGGAGAAGUUAAACUUUAUGAGAGAGAUAAGUGCUCUUGUCACAUCUGUGGCAGUUAACAGGUGAACCUGAGGAAUUCUGGGGUCUGUGGGCUUGCAUGGUGGUCAUUAAAGCUUCUGCCUCUUCCUUGUGUCUAAAUGACCAAGGUGGCUACUUUCAGGAGGUCCCCUAAAGUACUAUCUGGUCCCAGGGUGCAUUUCUAAGUAUAAACUGGAGGUGGUCACGUUUGUUGGUUGCCCAUUCUGAAAGACAGGGAAUUUGGCGUCUCUCAUUCCCUUUCUUCUUUCAGUGAAAUUUCGAGGUGUGAGGGAGAAAGAAAGCGGGCAUUCUCCCUUUCUGUUCUUUUUGUCUGAGUCUCGGCAACCUUGGCAGGUGCCACCCAUGGGUGCCAAUGUGGCUUGCACCCAGGAAGCAGGGAGGGCCUAGAAAAUAGGAAUUACGCACACUCAUCUGUGCUUCUACCUCCCCUACUGUCGACAACCUUUGAGUUCCCUGGGCCUCAUUUAUACCAUGGAGCAUGGCUUCCUUGCAUGAAGCGGGGGGUUAAUUGGCAGGAAUCGGUCCUGCCCAUUUACACUGGGACUGUUGCGUGGCUUCGGUUCCCUCAGAUCUGGUUUUCCUUUCUAGGGCCUCAACCUGAAGUUUAGAAUCAAGUUUGAGACCAAAAAAGAAGGUAUUUCAGAGGCUGCAUGGAUUCAUUUAGAUUUAAGUCCCACAUGGACUUUGCCAAAUUUGCAGUUAUCAGCCAGGAGGGGUUGCUCCUCUGUUGCCUCCCUAACAUAAGCAAAGUGCUGAGGCCCCCAGAUGAGACAGGAUUGUUCCCUUCAUCUUAACCCCCUUCGUGGGCGGGAACUGGAGCAGCUCAUUUCACUCAGCUCGCCUCCUGCCACUCCUGGCGGCAGAGCGUGCGAGUGCGGGAACCGGAGCGACCGAAUGCUGGAACCGGCCGGUCACUCCUCUCUGGCGGGAAUAGGCUCUGUGCGGGCCUCACAGCAGCGUCCAAGCCCUGGCCUCUCGGCACCGGGGUACCUGUCCGGCGUCCAGGAAGAAUUAGGUCAUAUGAACGGAUUGAAGAGUAGUGUAUGCGGAAGAUUUGAUUGAGUGGUGGCUCCUGGUGGGAUGGGUACUGGAAAGCAGACGGUGAAAGAGGGUCAUCUUUCCCUGAAGCCGCACCAUCUGAAGUUAGCUGCGUCUAUCUGUAGUCUUCAACACUCUUGCUGCUUCUCUGCUCACCGCUCAGCCGCUUGUGUUGCUCUGCCAGCUGAAGUCUUUUUUAUGGCCACAGGAUAGGGGCGUGGCAGGCCAAAAAAACAACAUUUGGGCAGAAAAACAGGGUCAGCUGUUUUCAAGGCCGUGAUUCCAGGCUUAAGGGUGGGGUUUAGCUGGGAACCCAGCCAUUCUGUAUCAGUGAUAGUUGCACAACUAUAAAUAUACUAACAACCAUUGAAUUGUGUACUUUAAGUAGAUUAACCGUAUGAUAUAUGAAUUACAUCUCAGUAAAGUUGUUUUUUAAAAAAUAUGCAUAUACCUUAGUCUAGCCGUUCCAGGUCAUAUACUACAGCGAUAGUAACAAAGAUAUAAUAUGUGGUUUAUAAUAAUAAAUAUUGGAAAUACUUAAUCUUGCAAAUGCAUGAUCAGUAAGGUAGUGGAGGCAAAAACUAGGUUUCCCAGGAGCUUCAGGCUUCUCAACUUCCAAGUAGUAAUCUCAAGGAAGUACGUACUCUGACUGAAACUGUUUAUGUCACAGACCUACUCCUUAGACCAAUCACUGUUCCCAUAGAGAUAGCUCAUUAUGAUUUGUGGAGUCAGAAUCAUGUGCCCACUGCUGAAAUCAGGAAUUCAGGGUCCUGGGAGAGUCACCCGUGCCACCCACCUAAUGUUUUCUGGAAGUUUGACUUUAAAAGGAAGAAGACAGCAAGAGAUCAAUAUAGCUAGAGUGUGGAGAUGAGGUGUUUUCUUUAAAAUAGAGGUGACUUGAACACGUUUAAAUGCUUGUGCAAAGUAGCCAAUAUAGAGGGAGCAGUUAAAGACACAAAAGAAAUAGAAUAUUUCUAAUCAAUAGAUCUCAGGAAAUUAUUAUUUCCCACUAUCCCUCAGAAAAUUAUAUUCAAUAAAGGAAUUUGUUUCUGGCUCCUUGGAGGAUUAACUUUCCUUUUCAUGCUUAGGCAAUACAAAGUUGAAUCACCACUUUAAACCACAUUACACAGACUAGAAGGUGAAACUCCAAUGCCCAGGCCAUUAUGUUAAUCAAUACUUCAACCUUCUUUUUUUUUUUGAGACAGAGUCUACGCUCUCGUUGCCCAGGCUGGAGUGCAAUGGCGCAACCUCAGCUCACUGCAACCUCUGCCUCCUGGGUUCAAG